CCUCCAUGGUGGUCGUCUUCUCCUCGCAUAAAAGAGCAUCGAUCAACCCUUGCUGGAUGAGCACGUCCUUCAUCCUUGCCUGCCACAAGGAGAAAUUGCUUUUUCCAUUAAACUUGUUGAUCUCCAUCUUGAUUGAUCAUAUCUUCUCUAUUUUCAGUCUUGCUAACCACCGCUGCAAUCUGCAUCCUUGUACCGCCUCACUCUGAUACCA
This 211-nucleotide long non-coding RNA is filed under the name Elaeis guineensis (African oil palm). RNAcentral describes it as "long non-coding RNA (EGUI_LNC004335)". The record is from RNAcentral. Lineage: Eukaryota; Viridiplantae; Streptophyta; Magnoliopsida; Arecales; Arecaceae.